UUCCGGUUGAUCCCGCCGGACCCCACUGCUAUCGGGAUAGGACUAAGACAUGCUAGUCGUGUGCCUCAGCCAAAACGAGGCACGGCGCACAGCUCAGUAACACGUGGCUAACCUGCCCUUAGGACGAGAAUAACCCCGGGAAACUGGGGCUAAUGCUCGAUAGGUGAAGAACUCUGGAAUGAGUCUUCACUUAAAAGAGUCUGCGUUAUGCUCGUAGAUUUCGCUUAAGGAUGGGGCCGCGACCGAUCAGGUUGUUGGUGAGGUAAUGGCUCACCAAGCCUUUUACCGGUGCGGGCCGUGAGAGCGGGAGCCCGGAGAUGGGCACUGAGACAAGGGCCCAGGCCCUACGGGGCGCAGCAGUCGCGAAAACUUUGCAAUACACGAAAGUGUGACAGGGCUAUCCCGAGUGCCAUCCGCUGAGGAAGGCUUUUACCCAGUCUAGAACGCUGGGGGAAUAAGGAGAGGGCAAGUCUGGUGUCAGCCGCCGCGGUAAUACCAGCUCUCCGAGUGGUGUGGAUGUUUAUUGGGCCUAAAGCAUCCGUAGCUGGCUAAGUUAGUCCCCUGUUAAAUCCAACGAAUUAAUCGUUGGAUCGCGGGGGAUACUGCUUGGCUAGGGGACGAGAGAGGCAGACGGUAUUUCCGGGGUAGGGGUGAAAUCCUAUAAUCCCGGGAGACCACCAGUGGCGAAGCUGUCU
This 695-nucleotide ribosomal RNA is filed under the name uncultured archaeon. Its description in RNAcentral is "bacterial SSU rRNA". It matches the Rfam family "Archaeal small subunit ribosomal RNA", at positions 1 to 678 of the family's 1478-position model. The record is from RNAcentral.